RNAcentral lists this long non-coding RNA (464 nucleotides) under Malus domestica (apple). Its description in RNAcentral is "long non-coding RNA (MDOM_LNC010789)". Lineage: Eukaryota; Viridiplantae; Streptophyta; Magnoliopsida; Rosales; Rosaceae. The record is from RNAcentral.
ACGAACCAACGCUCCUGGUCCGUACGAGCAUAAAAGGCGACACCAAAGCUCCUUGUCCGCACGAGCAUAAAAGGUGACAACAAACGCUCCAUGCUUGCACGAGUUGAAAUUGCAAACGGCACCAAAAGCACCUUGCCUGCACGAGUUGAAAAUGCAAACGGCAACAAGCGCUCCUUGCUUGCACGAGUUGAAACUGCAAAUGGCACCAAAAGCUCUUUGCCUGCACGAGUUGAAACUGCAUAUGGUACAAAAAAAAUGUAUUUGAACUACGUUACGACUUGAUCUCUUCUUUGGAAGGGUACGUAGGCAGCUCGAAUGUUCAAUUUUUCGAGUUCAGUCACAUCAAAAUAAAAGAAUAAAUGUUUUAUUAAAGAAGGUCAAUUUUAUUACAAAUUUCUUUGGUUAAGAAAAUUGCAAUUUUCUUUGUACAAAAUUAAAUCACAGUUUAUUCGAAAAAAAAAAAA